UCAAUUUUGACAAAUCUUUCGACUCUUCUAUGGUUACUACCAUGUGGUCGAACUUUGGAACCAACGACCUCAAGCUCUUUCCAACAACAGAUAUUGAUGUCAACACUUCUCCAUAUACCUUGAUUUUAGUCACCAGUGUCGUAACCUUAGUGAAGAAAUCAGUUAUGCUUUCAUUGUAUUCCAUUUGAAGCAAUUCAUACGUUAUUUUGUGAGUUUGCAACCUCACCUCUUUCACCUUCUCUGUGCCUCCAAACGACUUCUCCAGAAUUUCCCAUGCUUCU
RNAcentral lists this long non-coding RNA (281 nucleotides) under Lathyrus oleraceus (garden pea). RNAcentral describes it as "Pisum sativum (pea) long non-coding RNA (PSAT_LNC012763)". Lineage: Eukaryota; Viridiplantae; Streptophyta; Magnoliopsida; Fabales; Fabaceae. The record is from RNAcentral.